Molecule: non-coding RNA, 181 nt
Filed under: Alkalibacterium sp. 20
Lineage: Bacteria; Bacillati; Bacillota; Bacilli; Lactobacillales; Carnobacteriaceae
Also listed under: 1 other name
Description: Lysine riboswitch aptamer
Rfam family: Lysine riboswitch aptamer
About the family: Riboswitches are metabolite binding domains within certain messenger RNAs that serve as precision sensors for their corresponding targets. Allosteric rearrangement of mRNA structure is mediated by ligand binding, and this results in modulation of gene expression. This family includes riboswitches that sense lysine in a number of genes involved in lysine metabolism, including lysC.
Source: Rfam by way of RNAcentral
AUGAAUGGAUGAGGAGCAAAAAUCAUCAGUACUCGUUUUUAUACGGACCUGUAAGUCUAAAAUGAGGAAAGGGAGAUUUGCCGAAAUCGUUUGCUUUUACAGAGAGCAAACCGUUGGGCUGCAUAUGAAGAAUCUGCAGACUGCCGUAUAGCUAUAGGCUAAACGGAGUGCUUCCGCUUGU